This 435-nucleotide ribosomal RNA is filed under the name uncultured bacterium. RNAcentral's name for it is "partial 16S ribosomal RNA". It matches the Rfam family "Bacterial small subunit ribosomal RNA", at positions 29 to 507 of the family's 1533-position model. The record is from RNAcentral.
AGCGAACGCUGGCGGCAGGCUUAACACAUGCAAGUCGAACGGGCAUCUUCGGAUGUCAGUGGCAGACGGGUGAGUAACACGUGGGAACGUACCCUUCGGUUCGGAAUAACUCAGGGAAACUUGAGCUAAUACCGGAUACGCCCUUUUGGGGAAAGGUUUACUGCCGAAGGAUCGGCCCGCGUCUGAUUAGCUUGUUGGUGGGGUAACGGCCUACCAAGGCGACGAUAAGUAGCUGGUCUGAGAGGAUGAUCAGCCACACUGGGACUGAGACACGGCCCAGACUCCUACGGGAGGCAGCAGUGGGGAAUAUUGGAAAAUGGGCGCAAGCCUGAUCCAGCCAUGCCGCGUGAGUGAUGAAGGCCUUAGGGUUGUAAAGCUCUUUUGUCCGGGACGAUAAUGACGGUACCGGAAGAAUAAGCCCCGGCUAACUUCGUG